Molecule: ribosomal RNA, 118 nt
Filed under: uncultured bacterium
Lineage: Bacteria
Description: partial 16S ribosomal RNA
Rfam family: Bacterial small subunit ribosomal RNA
Source: RNAcentral
UACGGUGAAUACGUUCCCGGACCUUGCACACACCGCCCCGUCAAGCCAUGGAAGCCGGGUGUACCUAAAGUCGGUAACCGUAAGGGAGCCGCCUAGGGUAAAACUGGUGACUGGGGCU